RNAcentral lists this ribosomal RNA (527 nucleotides) under Coeliccia cyanomelas. RNAcentral's name for it is "partial 16S ribosomal RNA". It matches the Rfam family "Bacterial large subunit ribosomal RNA", at positions 1829 to 2619 of the family's 2925-position model. The record is from RNAcentral. Lineage: Eukaryota; Metazoa; Arthropoda; Insecta; Odonata; Platycnemididae.
GUCCUCUUGUAUUUAUAUGAGGUCUGACCUGCCCAGUGAGUAUUUAACGGCCGCGGUAUUUUGACCGUGCAAAGGUAGCAUAAUCAUUAGCCUUUUAAUAGAAGGCUGGAAUGAAAGGUUCAACGAAUCAUUAGCUGUCUCAUUUAUAUAAUUUAAAAUUUAAUUUUUAAGUUAAAAAGCUUAAAUUGUAUUGUAGGACGAGAAGACCCUAUAGAGCUUUACAUUUUAUUUUUAAAUAUUUUAUUGAUAAAUAAAUUUAUAUUUAAAUUUUAAUGUUUUGUUGGGGUGAUAAAAUUAUAUAAUAAACUUUUUUAUUUUAAAAACAAAUAUUUUUGAUUACUUGAUCCAUUAUUAUUGAUUAAUAGAUUAAGUUACCUUAGGGAUAACAGCGUAAUCUUCUUUUGGAGUUCAAAUUUACAAGAAGGCUUGCGACCUCGAUGUUGGAUUAAGAUAAUAAUUUGGUGUAGUAGUUAAAUUAAUAGGUCUGUUCGACCUUUAAAAUCUUACAUGAUCUGAGUUCAGACCGG